GUCCGCUUGCAGGAGCCCCAGGGCUUUUAAAAGCGGGGCACGCCACUGCUCUUUCAACGGAGGAGGGAGGCAGAGGGCUCACGGAUCAAUGAACUUUCAGCUGACACCACGCUUUGAGGGCCAUGGGAUCAUUCUGUGCUGCAGCGAGGACCUGCCUGCCUCACCAGAUGUGCUGAGCCCAUCCUUUCUAAUCCAGAGGGGUCCAAACUAGGAUCUGAAGAGGAGUCCUGAGAACCCAGCAGGUGCCCUGAAGAUCCCCCUCCAUCGGUGGAAGUCGGCUCAAGGAGGUCCUGAAGACUGGACUCCUGGGGGUUUGGCCCGGGGACAGGAUACUCAAGGACUCCUCUCCCACCCCGCCCCAAACUGGACCUCAGCCCCCACGCCACAGCCCCCACUUUCUCCCCAGAGCUGAGGGACAGAGAAUUGCGACUAGAAAUUCGAUCGAUUGCUACGAGGGACCACGUGGCCAGGGGCUGGCCAAUGACCAGGCCGCCCAGGAUGAGUAAUAAUGGAAGCAAUUUGUAACUUUCAGUAACUCUCUAGGCCUGGGUACCGGAGGGAGGGAGGCGGGCAAAGGAAGGGAGAUGGGCACCCCCAGUCUUUCCAUCCUCCUCAUUCGUCUAGGUGCACCCGAAUCCCCUAUUCCUUAUUUCCCGUAUCACUCAGGCACUGGCAGCGUCCUUUGCCCACUCCUGUUGGCCGCGGCGGCUCCAAAGCGAGGGUUUCCCAGAGGAAGAGAGAGAAUUUGGACAAAUGAAUGAGGAACAACGCUCUCCUGAGGGUUUUCUUUAAGGGGCGAGGAUCACUGCCGCUAGCUCCUUUGAAAGCAAAGUUAAGAGGCAGCGCAGGAAGGCACAGCAGGAAGGCUCAUGGUUAGACUACAGAGAAGGAAGCAGCCACUGCUGGGGACCUACCCUGUGCUGGUCACUGACAAGCUGUCUCAUUAAACCUUCCCGGACCCUCAACCCCUCCUAGUAUCUUAUCCUCAUUUUACAGAUGAGAAGACUGCGGCCAAGAGAGGUCCAAUGCCAGUGGGAUCAGCUUCGAUGGGAUGCGCACAGACUGACCUCUUCUCCCCAGCCCCUUCAACUUCCCAGAGCUGCAGGGGGCCUGGGAGUUCUUGGUAACAGCACAUUAAACCUCUGUUUGUGGGAACUUUAAUUUAAACACAAAUUAGAGAAGGCAAAUGACUCUGGCAGCCAGAUAAGCCAUCCCAGGAAAACAAGGAGAAAGCCAAGAGAAUCAGCCCAGAUAAGGUCUGACUUUAAACUACUGCUGAUACCCAGAAGCCUGGGACAGAUGAAAUCUAGGGGUCCUGAAUGAAGAACCCCAGAAGCUCCACACCCCAGUUGUCCUUGCUCUGGGCUCUAUGCCAGCUCCCUUUCCUGUGUUCUCUAUAUUUCUAUCUUUUUGCAAAAUUUUAUCCUGAUUCUUUGGCUCCAUCCCUCCCACCCCCACCCUACUGUUUUAGAGAAUGCACUUUCUUUACUUUGCUUCUCAUCUUCUUCUGUGACCUACUAUUCUGAGAAAGUUCUAC
RNAcentral lists this long non-coding RNA (1537 nucleotides) under Homo sapiens (human). RNAcentral describes it as "HSALNT0266218". The record is from RNAcentral. Lineage: Eukaryota; Metazoa; Chordata; Mammalia; Primates; Hominidae.